UUUCCGGUUGAUCCCGCCAGAGGUCGCUGCUAUCGGGGUUCGAUUAAGCCAUGCGAGUCGAGAGGGUUCGGCCCUCGGCGUACUGCUCAGUAACACGUGGAUAACCUGCCCUAGGGAAGGGGAUAACCCCGGGAAACUGGGGAUAAUACCCUAUAGGUUACAGAUGCUGGAAUGCUCUGUAACCCAAAGUUCCGGCGCCCUAGGAUGGAUCUGCGGCCGAUUAGGUUGUUGUUGGGGUAAUGGCCCAACAAGCCAGUAAUCGGUACGGGUUGUGGGAGCAAGAGCCCGGAGUUGGAUUCUGAGACACGAAUCCAGGCCCUACGGGGCGCAGCAGGCGCGAAAACUUUACAAUGCGGGCAACCGUGAUAAGGGAACCUCGAGUGCCUGUAAAUGCAGGCUGUUUAGGUGUUUAAAACGCACCUGGAGAAAGGGCCGGGCAAGACCGGUGCCAGCCGCCGCGGUAAUACCGGCGGCUCGAGUGGUGGCCACUUUUAUUGGGCUUAAAGCGUUCGUAGCUGGGUUGUUAAGUCUCUUGGGAAAUCUGGCGGCUUAACCGUCAGGCGUCUAAGGGAUACUGGCAAUCUUGGAACCGGGAGAGGUGAGGGGUACUUCGGGGGUAGGAGUGAAAUCCUGUAAUCCUCGAGGGACCACCUGUGGCGAAGGCGCCUCACCAGAACGGCUUCGACAGUGAGGGACGAAAUCUGGGGGAGCAAACCGGAUUAGAUACCCGGGUAGUCCCAGCCGUAAACUAUGCGCGUUAGGUGUAUCGGUGACCACGAGUUACCGAGGUGCCGAAGGGAAACCGUGAAACGUGCCGCCUGGGAAGUACGGUCACAAGGCUGAAACUUAAAGGAAUUGGCGGGAA
This 865-nucleotide ribosomal RNA is filed under the name uncultured archaeon. Its description in RNAcentral is "bacterial SSU rRNA". It matches the Rfam family "Archaeal small subunit ribosomal RNA", at positions 1 to 874 of the family's 1478-position model. The record is from RNAcentral.